RNAcentral lists this ribosomal RNA (158 nucleotides) under Cortinarius sp. PDD 94046. Its description in RNAcentral is "5.8S ribosomal RNA". It matches the Rfam family "5.8S ribosomal RNA". Rfam says of the family: 5.8S ribosomal RNA (5.8S rRNA) is a component of the large subunit of the eukaryotic ribosome. It is transcribed by RNA polymerase I as part of the 45S precursor that also contains 18S and 28S rRNA. The record is from RNAcentral. Lineage: Eukaryota; Fungi; Basidiomycota; Agaricomycetes; Agaricales; Cortinariaceae.
ACUUUCAGCAACGGAUCUCUUGGCUCUCGCAUCGAUGAAGAACGCAGCGAAAUGCGAUAAGUAAUGUGAAUUGCAGAAUUCAGUGAAUCAUCGAAUCUUUGAACGCACCUUGCGCUCCUUGGUAUUCCGAGGAGCAUGCCUGUUUGAGUGUCAUUAAU